This 740-nucleotide ribosomal RNA is filed under the name uncultured Microgenomates group bacterium. RNAcentral's name for it is "bacterial SSU rRNA". It matches the Rfam family "Bacterial small subunit ribosomal RNA", at positions 578 to 1330 of the family's 1533-position model. The record is from RNAcentral.
GUUUAUUAAGUUGGGGGUGAAAUCUCCGGGCUCAACCCGGAGCUCGUUCUCAAAACUGGUAGACUUGAGUAAGGUAGAGGCUGACGGAAUUCUGCAAGUAGGGGUAAAAUCCGUUGAUCUGCAGAGGAACACCAAAAGCGAAGGCAGUCAGCUGGGCCUUUACUGACGCUGAGGGACGAAAGCGUGGGUAGCGAACGGGAUUAGAUACCCCGGUAGUCCACGCCGUAAAUGAUGGAUACUGGACAUUGGUACUCGAUCGUAUCAGUGUCUCAAGCUAACGCAUUAAGUAUCCCGCCUGGGGAGUACGGUCGCAAGAUUAAAACUCAAAGGAAUAGACGGGGACCCACACAAGCGGUGGAGCAUGUGGUUUAAUUCGACAAUAAGCGAGGAACCUUACCAGGGCUUGACAUCCCGAGAAUUCUUUAGAAAUAGAGAAGUGCCUUUAUGGAACUCGGUGACAGGUGCUGCAUGGUUGUCGUCAGCUCGUGCCUUGAGGUGUUCGGUUAAGUCCGUAAACGAGCGCAACCCUAGUCCUAUGUUGUAUAUUUCAUAGGAGACUGCCUUGUCCAACGAGGAGGAAGGUUAGGAUGACGUCAAAUCAGCAUGGCCCUUAUGUCUUGGGCGACACACGUGCUACAAUGGUCGGUACAAUGGGUAGCCAACCCGCGAGGGGGAGCCAAUCCCAUCAAAGCCGGUCCAAGUUCGGAUUGGAGGCUGCAACUCGCCUCCAUGAAGUUGGA